GGGGGGUGAUGUUAGAAAAUAUUUGCUACUUCAGAGGUUUUGCCAAUGAGACAUCAAAAUAUCACCAAGAUCUCUGACCCC
This 81-nucleotide small nucleolar RNA is filed under the name Blastobotrys adeninivorans. Its description in RNAcentral is "U24". It matches the Rfam family "Small nucleolar RNA SNORD24". From Rfam's summary of the family: U24 is a member of the C/D class of snoRNA which contain the C (UGAUGA) and D (CUGA) box motifs. C/D box snoRNAs have been shown to act as methylation guides for a number of RNA targets. U24 is encoded within an intron of the gene for ribosomal protein L7a in mammals, chicken and Fugu. The record is from RNAcentral. Lineage: Eukaryota; Fungi; Ascomycota; Dipodascomycetes; Dipodascales; Trichomonascaceae.